RNAcentral lists this unclassified non-coding RNA (823 nucleotides) under Athalia rosae (coleseed sawfly). RNAcentral describes it as "misc RNA ENSAEAG00005003944.1". Lineage: Eukaryota; Metazoa; Arthropoda; Insecta; Hymenoptera; Athaliidae. The record is from RNAcentral.
AAGAAAUACGCGAGGUGGUGGACGGACUUGAAAGAGAAGCUCGAAAGACUGGAAGACUAGAGCCACUUACACUUUACAGUUAACAACGGAGGAAGGGGACAAACUAAAGAAGCCCCCGGAUAUUCUCGAUUCUCGAUAUGCUCCUCUUCCUUGAAUUUUGGAUGUGCAUCGUUGAGAAUUCGCAUUGACGGAAGGAAGUCGUCGAGUUUCAACUGAAUUCUCUCAAUCUGUUAUUGGUUGAAAUCGCCUUGGGCAUCGGGCGACUAGACCGUGGCUGCUGACCACACCGAGCAAUCUGACCUAGAGUAAAGAAGUUAUGCCGCGGAUCUGGAUCGGACGGGAUCGCUCGUCGAUCUGAAGCUGAACCCGUUGCGUCUUGUUGUCUUCUGCGUCUUUGUACUUACUCCCGAGAAUCACGAGGGGAUCGAGCUGUCGUACGAGAAGAGCUAGUCGCGGUUCGAUACGAUCCUUCUCUUCAGAUCUCACAGAAGGAGCAGUUCUUCAACGCGUUCAGUGGUAGUCUGCCCGUUCAGAGGAUACCCGGAACGAUGACCAUCCGAAAGACAAAACAGAGGAGAAGGAAUUAUCGCGAUCUCAACUGUACCGCAAUGGAUAGUUGCGCGGUCGCUGGAGAUUUUUCUUUUCCACACCCUCGGCCGAAUCAUCCGAUAUAUCGUGGGUUCUGAUGCUCGUGUAUAAAUAAUAUCGAAGCUAUCAUUAUACGGUCUAAAUAUCGACGAUAGGAAUGAGACGAAGAGUAAGAGGGCGAAGAAUGUACGGAGAAAAUGGCCCGAAGGGUAUCAGCGGCACGUGACUUUUGAGA